AUGCCGACACCGCAGGUUUGGCAGGAGACUUGGCGGUACAGCACAAGGGAACCGCCCCACAGUCAAACCAAAAGGACCAGGACUCAGAGUUGUGCCAAUGAGCGGUCCACACAAGAAGACAGUAUGUUUGCAAAAGCAAAACUUCAUAUUUCUCUUAUUCCUCCAUUUAUCGGCCCUCCUCGCCUGCCACCAGUGCACCGAGUCCGCGCAGCCAGCCCGAUCCACCCAGUCCUCACCGCCUGCCCGCCGGCCAGGGACGCCAUCAGGAAGAUGCAGAUGCUAAAGCUGGAUAAGAAGAACGCCAUCGACCGCCUGGAGCAGGCCGAAGCCAACAAGCAGCAAGCUGAGGACCACUGCAAGCAGCUGGAGGGGCAGCGGGAAAAGCUGAAGAGGACAGAGGCGAAAAGUAUUCUCAAUCCAUGAAGGAGGCCCAGGAGAAACUGGAGCAGCCGAGAAGGCCACCGAUGCUGACGCGGAUAUGGCCUCCCUUAACCGCCACAUUCAACAGGAAGAGGAGGGGCCGGACCGGGCCCAGGAGCGUUGUCUACAGCCCUGCAAAAGCUAGAGGAGACCGAGAAGGCAGCCGAUGAGAGUGAGAGAGGAAUGAAGGUCAUAAAAACCCGGCCAUGAAGGGCGAGGAGAAGAUGGAGUCGGAGGAGGUGCAGCUGAAAGGAGGACAAGCUCAUCGCUGAGGAUUCAGACGGCAAAUACAAGGAGGUGGCCAGGAAACCGCUGAUCCUGGAGGGAGACCUGGAGCGCUCAGAAGAGAGAGCUGAGGUGGCCAAGAGCCGAGCCAGACAGUUGGAGGAGAAACUUCAAACCAUGGACCAGACCAUCAAGUCCCUGAUGGCCUCAGAGGAGGAGUAUUCCACCAAAGAAGAUAAAUAUGAAGAGGAGAUGAAACUGCUGGAGGAGAAGCUGAAGGAGGCUGAGACCAGAGCAGAGUUUGUGGCAAAGUUGGAGAAAACCACGGAUGACCUAGAAGAGACGUUGGCCAGUGCCAAGGAGGAGAACGUGGAGAUUCAUCAGAUCUUGGACCAGACCCUGUUGGAACUCAGCAACCUGUGAGGGCCGGUGUCCUGCCCGCAGCCAAGCUACAGUU
Molecule: RNA transcript, 1102 nt
Organism: Rhinopithecus roxellana (golden snub-nosed monkey)
Lineage: Eukaryota; Metazoa; Chordata; Mammalia; Primates; Cercopithecidae
Gene name: tropomyosin beta chain pseudogene
Exons: 3
Source: RefSeq, a predicted model, not a curated record